CUCCUCAUAAGCUUCAGCCCUAAUAGAUAAUCCACUAACCCGCUAAAGAUGAGGCAAGU
This 59-nucleotide ribosomal RNA is filed under the name Caloenas maculata (spotted green pigeon). RNAcentral describes it as "partial 12S ribosomal RNA". The record is from RNAcentral. Lineage: Eukaryota; Metazoa; Chordata; Aves; Columbiformes; Columbidae.